This 274-nucleotide ribosomal RNA is filed under the name uncultured bacterium. RNAcentral describes it as "partial 16S ribosomal RNA". It matches the Rfam family "Archaeal small subunit ribosomal RNA", at positions 473 to 747 of the family's 1478-position model. The record is from RNAcentral.
AAACCAGCACCUCAAGUGGUCAGGAUGAUUAUUGGGCCUAAAGCAUCCGUAGCCGGCUCUGUAAGUUUUCGGUUAAAUCUGUACGCUUAACGUACAGGCUGCUGGGAAUACUGCAGAGCUAGGGAGUGGGAGAGGUAGACGGUACUCGGGAGGAAGUGGUAAAAUGCUUUGAUCUCUCGAUGACCACCUGUGGCGAGGGCGGUCUACCAGAACACGUCCGACGGUGAGGGAUGAAAGCUGGGGGAGCAAACCGGAUUAGAUACCCGAGUAGUCC